Molecule: ribosomal RNA, 253 nt
Filed under: uncultured bacterium
Lineage: Bacteria
Description: partial 16S ribosomal RNA
Rfam family: Bacterial small subunit ribosomal RNA
Source: RNAcentral
UACGAAGGUCCCGAGCGUUGUCCGGACUUACUGGGCGUAAAGGGUCCGUAGGCGGCCUGCUGCGUCGCUGCUGAAAGCGCCCCGCUUAACGGGGCGAGGCGUGGCGAUACGAGCAGGCUUGAGGAAGGCAGAGGGUGGCGGAAUUCCGGGUGUAGUGGUGAAAUGCGUAGAGAUCCGGAGGAACGCCUGUGGCGCAAGCGGCCACCUGGGCCUUAUCUGACGCUGAGGGACGAAAGCGUGGGGAGCAAACCGG